GAUGAAGAACGCAGCGAAAUGCGAUACUUGGUGUGAAUUGCAGAAUCCCGUGAACCAUCGAGUCUUUGAACGCAAGUUGCGCCCGAAGCCACUAGGCCGAGGGCACGCCUGCCUGGGCGUCACACGCCGUUGCCCCCCCAUCUACUCCUUCGGGAUUGCGGGGGGGCGGAUGAUGGCCUCCUGUGCGCCUAGCCGCGCGGUUGGCAUAAAUACCAAGUCCUCGGCGACGCACGCCACGACAAUCGGUGGUUGCGAAACCUCGGUUGCCCGUCGUGUGCGUUCGUCGCGCAUCGAGGGCUCGAAAAAAUGCUCGGCUCCGGCUGGGCUUUCAACGCGACCCCAGGUCAGGCGGGGUUACCCGCUGAAUUUAAGCAUAUCAAAGCGGAGGA
Molecule: unclassified non-coding RNA, 389 nt
Filed under: soil metagenome
Description: partial contains 5.8S ribosomal RNA, internal transcribed spacer 2, and large subunit ribosomal RNA
Rfam family: 5.8S ribosomal RNA (bases 1-122)
Source: RNAcentral